UUUUCAGGCUAUGCUACUUGUACAUAUAAAAAAUAUAGGCAUUAAAUUUUUUUUUUUUUUGAGAGACAUGUAGCACGCUAUCAGCUUCGCUUGUUUCAUUUAGAAAUAAACUUAGCUGAAAAUGUGAAUCAAUUAGGAUUCGAACUUGGGUCUCGGGUACCAACCAUCAAAUCUUUUACCACUUGCUCUAAGGACGGUCGAUAUUCUUUAUAUUAUUACUACUAAAAUUAUCAUUCUGUAUUCUUCAUAUUAAUAUUUUUUUAAAAAAUUAUCUAAUCUGAAAUAGUUGACUAUAAAAUUUAC
Molecule: long non-coding RNA, 303 nt
Filed under: Ananas comosus (pineapple)
Lineage: Eukaryota; Viridiplantae; Streptophyta; Magnoliopsida; Poales; Bromeliaceae
Description: long non-coding RNA (ACOM_LNC032205)
Source: RNAcentral